AUUUUCAUGAUGAUUUUUUUACCGCCCCAGUCUGAAAUUCAUGACUGAUUGGUUGUUCUGAUUUUUC
This 67-nucleotide small nucleolar RNA is filed under the name Leptinotarsa decemlineata (Colorado potato beetle). The record is from RNAcentral. Lineage: Eukaryota; Metazoa; Arthropoda; Insecta; Coleoptera; Chrysomelidae.